Triticum aestivum (bread wheat) is the source of this 3274-nucleotide RNA transcript. RefSeq lists it as uncharacterized. The record is from RefSeq and is a predicted model, not a curated record. The transcript has 7 exons. Lineage: Eukaryota; Viridiplantae; Streptophyta; Magnoliopsida; Poales; Poaceae.
GACUACCUCCCGCAUGAAAAAGAAACGCACCCACCUCCUCCGCUCUCCUCCUAGGGCGACACCGGGGCGCCCCCAACCCUAGCCGUCACAGACCUCCACCACAACCACGCCGCCGCCGCCGGUGGCCGCGAAGGCGGCUCCUCAAAGCAGGGACGCGUCUCCCGUCGAAAUCCAAGUCCGUUUGCGCGAGCUUCUCCGCCCCUCGAUCCGAUCUUCACCUUCGCUCAUGGUGGCCGUCAGCUGACCUCCCGCCGGCGGUCAGCUUGAUCUGCGCGGCACUCGGCUGCCCGCAUGGCCCACCUCCUCCCCAUCGCGGCACUCGUUGGCCAUCGUUGGGCCUGCUUGUGACGCACAGAUCGGGUCGCGCGCGACGGCUACAUCAUCGCCGGAUCUGUCCUUUCGUCCGACUGCGACCCCAACCCCAGCGCCCUCCUCCACCGCCCGCUUCCCCACUCCCGCUUGACUCCAUGGGGGGCGCCGGUGAUGACGCUCUGCCCGGAGUUCCGCGGAUCUGCGUCUGCCAGUCGCGUUUGGCCUCCGUCCACUGUGCUCUGCCGGCCCUGGCCCGCGCCGGGGUGGCCCUUGGCUCGUCACCAGGCUCAGCUAGCAUGUUUUCUAAAGGCUGAGGGGUAAUCGAGGAGCCGGUGCCGAGGUCCUAGAGGAGGCGCCGCCGCCUUCAUUGCGGACCUGCAGGUCGCCAUCUGGACAUCGCUGCCGAGAUUUUCAGAACACUGAGUGCAUAUCUUGCCUUGCAAUGCUGCUGAUUCGACAACCGAACUGGAUUCAAACUGGACUUGCGACCAGAGCAACCCCAAGCAAGAUGAACUCGAUUGGAAGAUGUCUUCUAAACUCUGAAGGCAAGCACUUGGCCGACACUUUUGUUCGUGUAGAAGGCAUGUCAUUUGAUUCAUGCCAAGAAGCGUACAAAUAGUAUAAGCUAUUCGCUUGGGAGAAUGAUUUCAGAAUUCAUCAUGGAAAGCCGAGAUGAGGGCAUGCACGUUACCUGUUGAUGCACAAAAAUGUGUGCUGGUGCUAGGUUAAGAGGGACAAAGGUAAUUCUUCUUCGUGCAAAACAGAAUGAAGGCGAGGAUGCAUCUCCUCCAUGCAAAGCAGGUUGGUAUGUGAGCAUAUUCAGGAACCAGCAAAAUCACCCUCUAUCUGCAAUUUGUGAAGAGAAGAGGCAGUGGAACUCACACAGUGAGAUCAAUCCAGUUCUUAUGAAAAAAUUUCAUCAAGAAUCUCGAAGUAAAUAAUUUCAGCCUCGGCAAGGUGUGCAAUAUUCUCACCGCAAUGCAUAGCGAUUAGUCAGGAGCAACAUUCCGUAAGCAAAACUUAAGGUACCUUUGCUCAACGCUUGCUUAGUAUUCAAUAACAAAUGACAUGGUCAAGACUGUCAAGCUUUUAUAAGACACGAAAACCGUCAAUCCAUAUCUGUCAAUAUGUGUUGUGCGCGUCCAGAAUAUUUUCAGGCAUAUGGGAAUGUUGUGCAGACAUUCUGUUGAUUUCAGACAAUUGAAAGCAGUGAUACAGUCCAAAUUUUGGCAAGAGAAAGGAGUUUAGGGAAGACGACAAAGGAGGAAUAUGAUGUUGCCCCAACCCCAAGUACCGGGUUUGUUAAUUACUCAACAAGUCACAGAUCGAUCUCUUUUUUAUUGGUUUGGAGUGGAUUAUCAGGCCUGCCACGCAAUCAUAGAUUUACCUUUUGAUUUAUGUGGGUGGACAGAGACACCCUUUCUGAAGUUUUCUAGGGAUUGUAAUGAAGCACAACUUGGUCAGUGAUACCAAUCCCUUCGAGCUCCCUCAACCCUUCGCCAACACUUCAGUUUCUCACCACAAGCGUACUAUUGUUCAGGAUAGUGUGUGUGACAUGUGGGAACGGGGAGGAAGAUGAAUAUCAUGCUGUUAUAUCAUGCACAAAAAGUAAGGCGUUGAGAUUUGCCAUGAGGAAAGAGUGGAGGCUUCCAGAAGAAAAGGAGUUCUGGUACACUGAAACAGACUGGCUACAAAUCCUACUGGACAAGUAUGAUUCAGAGAUAAGAAAGAAAAUUCUGCUGUUGUUAUGGAGAGCCUGGUUUCUACGAGAUAACUAUAUCCACAGUGAUGGCAAAGAAACCAUUUCGAGAUCGGUGAUGUUCCUUGUGCAGUAUGAGGAGGAAUCAGGAAUCUGUCGAUAUCUGCUGUUGGACAGGGAAACAAGAGUUGCUGGGCCCUGUCUGCAUCUAGACACACCACGACUAGGAAUCAGCCGAACGCCGAGCCAAAUGCCCAGUGGAAAGAGCCGCCUGAAGGUGUUGUAAAACUAAACACUGACGCUGCCUUUUUGUCAGGCACAUGCGAAGCCUGGGCUGGCACGAUCGCACGGGAUCAUACGAGGCAUGUUGUCUUCUCGGCGAGUAAAUCGAUGAAUUGAAGAGGCAGAGGGGCAAGCUAUCCUGAUGGGUCUGGUAUUGCUGUCGAGACUGUACCAAGGCCCACUGAUCAUUGAGACUGACAACAAAAUGAUUGCAAAUGAGUGGGACAAGUCAGACCAAACCGAUCGGAAUGUUUCUGGGUUGUCAGUGAGAUAAAAAACACAAGCCGGAUCUUCAAUUCAGUUCAGGACAAGGCCAUCAAAAGGGAACAAAACUGUCUAGCACAUGAGCUCGCUGCCAGAGCUAGACGGCAUGAGGACUCACUAAUAAUUGCGGACGUGCCCGAGGAGCUUCGUUCGCUGAUGCUAUCUGAAUGUACCAAGUGAUGUAUUUGGUCCUUUUUAGGCUAUCUGGAAUGAUUGCAGGUUUUAACAAGAAGUCCUCAAUAGGUGGACUGGCUCAAAAUGGAUGGAGAAGCACGCCGGUAGCUUUUUGGUUGAUUGUAUUAAGCAUUUAAGUUCGUAGCAAUUCAUACCAUCAAUAUCUUUGGGGUGCCUUGUACUCCCUCCGUAAACUAAUAUAAGAGCAUAGUGAUCUAAACGCUCUUAUAUUAUAGUUUAUAGAGGGAAUAAUUUUUUAAAAAAUCGUGCCUUUUUCGGCCUGAUGUGGCGUGCUGCCCAUAUACGUCCUUACCCCAUUUCCUCCUCACAUAUGGCCUGGGUUUUCGGAUAGCAAGACAUAUGGACUUAUGGAGACAGUUUGGGGGUGCCGAUUCUCUCUCUCUCUCCCCCUCUUGCUAAUAGAAUUAUGAACAGCCGAUAAGAGUAAUAUUAUAGACCUUCUCUCCUCAAUCCUACCAUGUAUUAUUUGACUUUUGCGCUAACACAGGAAAAAUGUGUUGUAAACUUGUGAGUUGUGCCUUA